GAGUCCUUACCUCGUUUUUGCAAAGUUUGUUUCAUCAUGUACUGACACAAUCCUUGUUGCAGAAUGCCGCCCCCUUCAACCCAAGACAUGGUGAUACCUGCAAAUGCAGUAGGUAAAGUGUUGGGCAAAGGUGGGGCAAACAUUGCUAACAUCCGGAAGAUCUCAGGAGCAAUUAUAGAGAUCCUUGACUCAAAGACAUCGCGUGGUGACCGAAUUGCCCAGAUAGCUGGCACGCCUGAUCAGAAGCGUUCGGCUGAGAACUUGAUUCAGGCCUUCAUAAUGGCCACAUGAGAUUUCUGGAUCUUGGUGGUAUUUGAAGAUGAAUUUAAUUUAUAUUCAGAGAUUUCUUCCCCAGAGGAUUCCUCUUCAUGUUUCUUUUAGGUGUUGCUCCAGAGGAAUUAAUGUUCGUAGGAUUCUCCUACUGGAACUCCUAUUACCUCCAUAACAGAGCCUACUUGAGAUUUAUUGGCGGAUUCACACUCGGCUUUUCAUUGGGAGCUAGGCUUCUGUCUUAAGUUGCUCAAUCUUUUCCCUUGUCUCAAAAUAUCUUAGAACUUAAAUAGGAUCUUUCUUUCCUGUUUGGUUUUUAAUCAUGCCUUAUCUUGGACAAGCGUAGACUCCAUCUUAUUUCCAGUGUGGUGCUGUGCUCUUUAAGAUGUUCACUCCAGUAAUAUACUCUUUAAUGACCUUAACUUGGUUCAUUGCUACUCAAGUACUCAUGAUAUAUAUGUUUGCUUUAUUUUUCUUGUCUUUCAA
Long non-coding RNA from Telopea speciosissima, 756 nucleotides. RefSeq lists it as uncharacterized. NCBI's taxonomy places the organism in Eukaryota, Viridiplantae, Streptophyta, Magnoliopsida, Proteales, Proteaceae. The record is from RefSeq and is a predicted model, not a curated record. The transcript has 2 exons.